Long non-coding RNA from Pan troglodytes (chimpanzee), 2524 nucleotides. NCBI's taxonomy places the organism in Eukaryota, Metazoa, Chordata, Mammalia, Primates, Hominidae. The record is from Ensembl.
GCAGGAAGACAGAGGUGCCUGCGUGGCCGAGGCCUGGAAGGUCUGCACCAUGGUGCACAGAGGCCCCGGAGCUGGGUGAGGCCAGAAAGCUGCUCUGGGGUCAGCGGGGAAUGUGCCUGCUGAAUCUGCAAGCACCUGAGCUACGUCUUCACAAAUGGCCUCAGACCUAGAGUGCAGGGAGAUCCCCUGGCUUUUCUGAAGUGGUGGCCGGUGGUCUCCCGGGGAGCAGAACCUGGGCUGCUUACUUCCCUUACCCAGUGAGGGCCCGCGGGGAGCUCUUAAGUUGGGCAUCAUGGGUCUGCGUGAUGUGGCUGCUGUGCCCACAUCAGAGGGUUUUUGUUUCUUUUCCAAAGUCAAGCUGCACUAAUCUAGACCAGGGAUCCCCACCCCUGGGCUGUGGACCGGUCCCCAUGGGUGGCCUGUUAGGAACUGGACCGCACAGCAGGAGGUGGAACAGUUUAAUCCUGAAACCAUCCCCCCGUCUGUGGAAAAACUGCCUUCCACCAAACCAGUCCCUGGUGCCAAAAACGCUGGGAACCGCUAAUCUAGACAGUUCUCUGCUAAGGAAGCACGUGGUUGAGAAGCAUCAGAAUCGUUCCCACGGACCAUGCUCCGGAGUCUCAGCAGGCUCCUGCAGGUGAGCCCCACUGGCCUCUCCUCUUCCUUCCGGACCUCCUCAGCUUUGGUAAUGAAAAGCUGCAUCCUCUUCUGUCCCCAAUUCCUCUCUGGGUGUCAGGAUCUCUAAAACCCUCUCAGCCGCUGAGAAAUCUGUCUGUCUGUCUCACAGUGUGUUUAUCCGUGCAUCAUGAAGGACCCUCAUACGGCUGACGUGCCUUGGCUGAUGCGAGUAACACUGCAGCAAGCGUGGGAGUGCAGAUAGCUCUUGGAAAUACCCAUUUCCUUCAGAUGCAUACUCAGAGGUAGGAUUGCUGGAUUGUUUGGUCAUUUUGAUUUUUAAAAUUAAAAAGAAUUUUAAUUCUCAUAUUGUUUUGAGUAAAAUUAAAUUAUAACUUGUAAAGCAACUCCAUGUUUUUUAUAAUUUUUUAAAAAAAUAAUUGCUCUACCAAUUGACUGUCCCAACAACAACGUACAGGGGUAUUUUUUUUCCUCCGCAUCCUCACCACUUGUUACCUUUUGUCUUUUUAAUAAUAGCAAUCCUAAGACAUGUGAAGUGAUACCUCACUGUGAUUUUGAUUGGCAUUUUCCAGAUGAUUAGUCUAUUCAGGCCCUUUACUUUUUUUUGUUGUUGUUGUUGUUUUUGAGAUGGAUUCUCACUCUGUUGCCCAGGCUGGAGUGCGAUGGCACGAUCUCGGCUCACUGCAACCUCCGCCUUCCGGGGAGGAGUGAUUAGCCACCACGCCCGGCUAACUUUUGUAUUUUAGUAGAGAUGAGGUUUCACCAUGUUGGCCAGGCUGGUCUCGACCCCCUGAUCUCAGGUGAUCCACUUUGCCCAGCCUCCCAAAGUGUUGGGAUUACAGGUGUGAGCCACCACGCCCAGCCCCUUUGCUCUUUUUAAAUAGGAUUAUUACUAUUACAAUAUUUGCUUUUGAGUUGUGGGUGUUCCUUAUAUAUUUUGGAUAUAAACUCCUUAUCACAGGUAUGGUAUAUAUGGUUUGAAAUAUUUUCUCCCAUUAUCAUGCCCCAAUAUCACUAAGUUACAUUUCACUGCUCCCUCUUGAACACCUGAAAAAAUUUCCUAUUUCCAUGUGUCUGUAUCCAGGUUAUUGUCACUUUUACCUGAAGACACAUUUAUAUAUGCUGAUAUUCCCCAAUAACUAAUAUAUUUUUACUCUUUUUUUUUUUUUUUUUUUUUGAGAUGGAGUCCUGCUCUGUUACCCAGGGUGGAGUGCAGUGGCAUGAUCUCAGCUCACUGCAACCUCUGCCUCCCAGGUUCAAGUGAUUCUCCUGCCUCAGCCUCCCAGGUUGCUGGGAUUACAGGCACAUGCCACCACCACUAGCAAAUUUUUUUGUAUUUUUAUUAGAGAUGCGGUUUCACCAUAUGGGUCAGGCUGGUCUUGAACUCCGGACCUCAUAUGAUCCACCCGCCUUGGUCUCCCAAAGUGCUGGGAUUAUAGGCAUAAGCCGCUGCACCCGGCCCUAACUAAUAUAUUUUAAAUAACUUUUUGCUCUUGGCACAUGGACUAAAACCACAUCACCAGGCUUUCAAUGACAUCCAAUGUCUGCCAUCUUAUUUCCACUCCAGCUCCGCCCCAGGCAUAGUUGCCUUUCUUUUUAUUGAAGCCUUCUCCUUGCCAAGUUAAUUAAAGAGAAUGUUUUCUUCAUCAAAUUAGAAAUUACAUCCUCAGAGAAGCUUUCCAGUAUUUGUAGUUCUUACAGACCACAUUUAUUACAAGUUUAUAGACUCCAAACUUCUCCACUGAACAGUUAAUAAAAAGGACACAGGCUUAUUGUAAAAUAAUUCAUUUAGUGCCUGCCAUUCUGAUUACACUAGAAAUUUAGUUCUCCUGCUCCGCGUUCUGUUAUGUGACUGUUCAAUGCAUUACUUAAAACUGCAAGAUUGAAU